UUUUAUGUGAAUAUAGGUUUAGAAGUUCGAUUACCCUUUGCAGGUUAGUGGCAACUUCGUUGAAUGACUGUUUGUGCCGUGAAAGAGAAGAGGCAAUGACUCGCCUCAGCUCCGAACAAGUCUUGAAGGACAACAAUGUCUCCGACCCAACUUCCGUCACAACUCUGCAUCUCACUUACAAAGCUCUUUCCGAUAUAACAUGCUUGGCCAACUUCAUAAACUUGGAAAAGCUUGACCUUAAGUUCAACAACCUCACUUCACUUGAGGGGUUGAGAUCAUGUGCUAAUUUGAAGUGGCUAUCCGUUGUAGAAAACAAAUUAGAAAGCUUGGAAGGGAUUCAAGGACUAACUAAGCUCACUGUGCUAAAUGCAGGGAAAAAUAAGCUUAAAUCAAUUGAUCAGAUCGCUUCAGUUGUUAGUCUCCGAGCUCUUAUUUUGAAUGAAAAUAACAUUUCCUCCAUUUGCAAAUUGGAUCAGUUGAAAGAAUUGAACACUCUUGUUCUAUCAAAAAAUCCUAUCCGUAAUAUUGGUGAUGCUCUGCUGAAGGUGAAAUCUAUCACGAAGCUUUCCCUCUCUCAUUGCGAGCUUCAGGGUAUUGACACCUCACUCAAGUCUUGUGUUGAGUUGAGCGAGCUCCGCCUUGCUCACAAUGAGAUCAAGUCUCUUCCGGAUGAGUUAAAGCUCAAUUCAAAGCUCCGGAAUUUAGAUGUGGGGAAUAAUGUGAUCACGAGGUGGUCAGAAGUAAAGGUGGUCAAAUUGCUCACAAAUUUGAGAAAUCUUAAUCUUCAAGGAAAUCCUGUUGCCACAGUUGAUAAAAUUACGAGAAAGAUUAAGAAGGCACUGCCAAAACUACAGAUAUUCAAUGCUAGACCAGUAGAUAAAGAUACUGAGAAUAAGCAAGGUGGCGUAGUUGAUGGAACUCCUGAUUUUUCAGUAGACCAGACAGGUCAAAAUUUGAAAGACAGCAGCGAAGAAAAGAGUGCAAGAUUUCAUACAAAAGAUAAAAAGAAGUAUGAUCACCUUGAAGCCACAGAUGAUCUUGACUCGGAGAGAAAAUCAAGUAAGAAAAGGAAGAAAACUGAUGAUGUAUCCAAGAAGGAAGACAUGGUGGUGAUUGCUGAGGGAAGUAAAGCUCGGAAAAAGGAUAAGGCAGAUAGAAAGAAAGACAAUCUUAUAGUUACUGUUGAUCCUGACAUGGAGAACAAAUCAACCAAGAAAAAGGUGAAAAAGGAUGACAAGCCCUUGGACAACAAGGGUUUUGCUUCUGAGGAGAAUGUUUCCAAGGUUGGAAAGAAGCUGAAGAAGAAACGUAAGAAUGAGGAACAAAGUGAACUUGACAUAAUUGACGAUGCAGAGGCUUCAUUUGCAGAGCUUUUUAAAAUCAAUGAUGUUCAAAAUCAGAAUCAUGGUGAUGAAAUGAAAACACAGGAGAAAGUGUCUAAGGAUGUGAAAUUUGCAGGAAUCACAGUAACUUCAUUUACCAAACCUAAGAAUGCUAAAAUGCAGAAUAUGGAGUCUCUUUCAUUUUCAUUUCCAGUAGUAGAUUUUGGAAAUGGAGGGCCAUCAACAUGGGGUGAUGAGUGAUGAUAACAUGUGGAAAUAUGUUGAUGCAUGAAAACUUGUCCUCAAGAAGUUGAAGACUAUUUUUUAGUUUGACUCUGCUGUCAGAUUUCUCAUUGCAUCUCAGCUAUUUUCUGCUUCUGAAAUCCAGGAGAAAACUGGCAAAGCGUGCCCCUAUAGUCCGAUAUAAGUGGGCCUGUCCUUGGUGGGCUGGUGGGCUGGUGGGCUAGUGAGCUGGUGGGCUGGUCCACCCAUCAACAAUAUCAAUGAUUGGUUUUCUAAUAAAAGAAUUUAUUAGCAUUCCAUUUAUAUUGAUUUGAUUAUAAUUUAUUUAUAAGUAAAUACUAGUUAUUAAUUUUUAUAAAUUAGACAGUGACAAAUAUUAUAUUAGAAAUUGACUGUCCAAGUUAUUAUA
Molecule: RNA transcript, 1974 nt
Organism: Vigna unguiculata (cowpea)
Lineage: Eukaryota; Viridiplantae; Streptophyta; Magnoliopsida; Fabales; Fabaceae
Gene name: Leucine-rich repeat (LRR) family protein
Source: RefSeq, a predicted model, not a curated record